GAAAUAUGAGGAACAAGAAGAAGCUGCUAACUUCUAUCUUUAAUGGUUUAACUCCAUUAAUAUUUCU
RNAcentral lists this transfer RNA (67 nucleotides) under Prodiamesa olivacea. RNAcentral's name for it is "tRNA-Ser". Lineage: Eukaryota; Metazoa; Arthropoda; Insecta; Diptera; Chironomidae. The record is from RNAcentral.